Molecule: ribosomal RNA, 504 nt
Filed under: uncultured bacterium
Lineage: Bacteria
Description: bacterial SSU rRNA
Rfam family: Bacterial small subunit ribosomal RNA
Source: RNAcentral
AUCCUGGCUCAGGAUGAACGCUAGCUACAGGCUUAACACAUGCAAGUCGAGGGGCAGCAUGAAGUCAGCUUGCUGACUUUGAUGGCGACCGGCGCACGGGUGCGUAACACGUAUCCAAUCUGCCCGUUACUCAGGGAUAGCCUUUCGAAAGAAAGAUUAAUACCUGAUGGUUUCCUUGGGAGGCAUCUCCUUUGGAAUAAAGAUUCAUCGGUAACGGAUGAGGAUGCGUCCGAUUAGCUUGUUGGCGGGGUAACGGCCCACCAAGGCGACGAUCGGUAGGGGCUCUGAGAGGAGGAUCCCCCACACUGGAACUGAGACACGGUCCAGACUCCUACGGGAGGCAGCAGUGAGGAAUAUUGGUCAAUGGGCGGGAGCCUGAACCAGCCAAGUAGCGUGAGGGACGACUGCCCUAUGGGUUGUAAACCUCUUUUGUUUGGGAAUAAAGUACCCCACGUGUGGGGUUUUGCAUGUACCUUACGAAUAAGCAUCGGCUAAUUCCGUGCC